GACAAGAAGACCCUAAGAAUUUUAAAUUUUCUUAAAUUUUUAUAAAAAUUUAAGAAAAUUUUAGUUGGGGUAACUAUAAAAUAUCAUAAACUUUUAAAAAAUAAAAUGAUCCAUUAUUAAUGAUAAUUUGAAAAAAAUACUCUAGGGAUAACAGCGUAAUAAUUUUUGAUAGAACAUAUAGACAAAAUAGUUUGCGACCUCGAUGUUGGAUUAGGAUGCUUUUUUAAUGAAGAUGUUAAAAAAAGAAGUUUGUUCAACUUUUAAAUUCCUACUUGAUCUGAGUUCAGAC
This 289-nucleotide ribosomal RNA is filed under the name Dermacentor imitans. RNAcentral's name for it is "partial 16S ribosomal RNA". The stretch from base 147 to 289 matches the Rfam family "Bacterial large subunit ribosomal RNA", at positions 2473 to 2616 of the family's 2925-position model. Lineage: Eukaryota; Metazoa; Arthropoda; Arachnida; Ixodida; Ixodidae. The record is from RNAcentral.